ACCAUACAUGAUAUGAUAAUAGCAGUUACAUUGUGGUAACAACUAGAUGGAGCUUAAUCUUUAGGGAACUGUAUUUUUUUUUUUUAAUCCAGAUUAAUAAUGUAAGUUUCUAAUCUUUAUCCAAAUCAAUUGUGAUGGUGAAAGGCUUCUUUGUCAUUAUUUAUGUUGAAUAUAACUUGAAGAGUACAAAAUCUGGAGUUGAGAAGCCUUGACAUAUAUGCUGGAAUUAUAGUGUGCAAAUAUUUGGUGCUUGAUAUAUACUAUCUAGUAACAUCUGCUAAUAGGAGGAAUUGAUUCACUCUUUAUAAUUUUUUUUCAUCACUUUAAACAAGACAUCUUCUGCUUUCAAGAAAUGUUCAUCAUAAAAUACAUCUGAGAGAAUUUGUCACUGUUGUGCUUCUGCUUACUAUGAACUUAGCAUUGUAGUCUGGAGUAGUUUUGGGUAAUGAAAAUUUACACAAUUCUUAUGCACUGCUUUUUGAUAGCAUUUAGUACCAACUAGUCGGCUACUAUGCUUAUAAUAGUGAUUUCAGGGAGCCUUUUGUUUGUACAUUUAGCUGUGAAUAUGAACUCUCAAAUUCUGUGCAUCUAUGAUAUGAUCAAUGUGGGAC
This 611-nucleotide long non-coding RNA is filed under the name Elaeis guineensis (African oil palm). RNAcentral describes it as "long non-coding RNA (EGUI_LNC038453)". The record is from RNAcentral. Lineage: Eukaryota; Viridiplantae; Streptophyta; Magnoliopsida; Arecales; Arecaceae.